RNAcentral lists this transfer RNA (85 nucleotides) under Desulfovibrio sp. RNAcentral's name for it is "tRNA-Leu". It matches the Rfam family "tRNA". From Rfam's summary of the family: Transfer RNA (tRNA) molecules are approximately 80 nucleotides in length. Their secondary structure includes four short double-helical elements and three loops (D, anti-codon, and T loops). Further hydrogen bonds mediate the characteristic L-shaped molecular structure. tRNAs have two regions of fundamental functional importance: the anti-codon, which is responsible for specific mRNA codon recognition, and the 3' end, to which the tRNAs corresponding amino acid is attached (by aminoacyl-tRNA synthetases). tRNAs cope with the degeneracy of the genetic code in two manners: having more than one tRNA (with a specific anti-codon) for a particular amino acid; and 'wobble' base-pairing, i.e. permitting non-standard base-pairing at the 3rd anti-codon position. The record is from RNAcentral. Lineage: Bacteria; Pseudomonadati; Thermodesulfobacteriota; Desulfovibrionia; Desulfovibrionales; Desulfovibrionaceae.
GGCCGGGUGGCGAAAGGGUAUACGCACCGCACUCAAAAUGCGACGUCCGCAGGACAUGAGAGUUCGAAUCUCUCCCCGGCUACCA